CCCGCUGAGUCUAAGCAUAUCAAUAAGCGGAGGAAAGGGCGAA
RNAcentral lists this ribosomal RNA (43 nucleotides) under Robinsonecio gerberifolius. RNAcentral describes it as "partial 26S ribosomal RNA". The record is from RNAcentral. Lineage: Eukaryota; Viridiplantae; Streptophyta; Magnoliopsida; Asterales; Asteraceae.